UACGGGGAGUGCAAGCGUUGUUCGGAAUCAUUGGGCGUAAAGCGCGCGCAGGCGGUCCUGUAAGUCUGAAGUGAAAUCCCUCGGCCCAACCGAGGACGUGCGUUGGAUACUGCGGGACUUGAAUCUCGGAGGGGCGGGUAGAAUUCCCAGUGUAGAGGGGAAAUUCGUAGAUAUUGGGAGGAAUACCGGUGGCGAAGGCGGCCCGCUGGAC
This 211-nucleotide ribosomal RNA is filed under the name uncultured bacterium. Its description in RNAcentral is "partial 16S ribosomal RNA". It matches the Rfam family "Bacterial small subunit ribosomal RNA", at positions 524 to 734 of the family's 1533-position model. The record is from RNAcentral.